GACGAACGCUGGCGGCGUGCUUAACACAUGCCAGUCGAACGGAAAGGCCCUGCUUUUGUGGGGUGCUCGAGUGGCGAACGGGUGAGUAACACGUGAGUAACCUGCCCUUGACUUUGGGAUAACUUCAGGAAACUGGGGCUAAUACCGGAUAGGAGCUCCUGCUGCAUGGUGGGGGUUGGAAAGUUUCGGCGGUUGGGGAUGGACUCGCGGCUUAUCAGCUUGUUGGUGGGGUAGUGGCUUACCAAGGCUUUGACGGGUAGCCGGCCUGAGAGGGUGACCGGCCACAUUGGGACUGAGAUACGGCCCAGACUCCUACGGGAGGCAGCAGUGGGGAAUAUUGCACAAUGGGCGGAAGCCUGAUGCAGCAACGCCGCGUGCGGGAUGACGGCUUUCGGGUUGUAAACCGCUUUCGCCUGUGACGAAGCGUGAGUGACGGUAAUGGGUAAAGAAGCACCGGCUAACUACGUG
This 468-nucleotide ribosomal RNA is filed under the name uncultured bacterium. RNAcentral describes it as "partial 16S ribosomal RNA". It matches the Rfam family "Bacterial small subunit ribosomal RNA", at positions 28 to 507 of the family's 1533-position model. The record is from RNAcentral.